UGAACUUUGCCCUGCACAGGUUUGAAGUCAGGGGAACUUCUGAUGGAGGACCGUACGGGUUAUUGAUGUGCAAAUCAUUUUUCUGAUGUAGGUAAAGGUGCGAAAGACUCAUCGAACCACCUAAUAGCUGGUUCCCUCCGAAGUUUCCCUCAGGAUAGCUGUAAUGCAUUUAGUUAAGGGGAGUAGAGAUAUGGGUAGAGGUGCAGGGAGCCUUCGGGUUCUCAACUUAUUUCCAAACUUCGAACCUCCUUGUUAGGCAUUUACCUAACUGGAAAUGCUUAAAUGAAUUAGCGUUACAAGUGGGCUCUGACCGGUAAGCGGUCAUGGCGAAAUGGGAUGAACCAUACGUCUGAAUAAGGUGCCGAAAUGUACUAUCACUGAUACCAUAAAGGGAGUCCAUGUAUUUAGACAGCAGGUCGGUGCCCCUAAAAGCAGGUAUCCGCUAAAGAGUGUGUUAAAACUCACCUGCCGAAUACUAGGGCCCCGAAAAUGAAUGGCGCAUAUAGUACUACCGAUCUCAGACAUCAGUUCUAUUGAACUGAGAGUAGGGGGAUGUGGACAUUUUUGUGAAGGUGCAAUGUGAGUUGGACUGGAAGAAUGUCUAUUACAGAUCCUAAUUGAAGUAGCGAUUAUCCAGGCUUGUAUCCUGGGGGCUGAUGAGGAGUAGGGUUUCUGGACAACUUAAACAGAUCCAGAGUUAGUCGAUCCUAAUCUCAAUAAUGGGAGAAAGGGAGUACAGUUGAUAUUCUGUAACUGACAACAGUUCGCGGCAACGCAUACUAUUUUUCUCCGCCAAUCUUAUACCGUUGGUAGGGAUCUCUUUCCUACAUGACAGUACUAAUACCCAGGGAAACUGGUCAUCAGGCGAACUGCGGCGUUCUGCUGGCAAAACAUAGCUUCGGUUAUGUCAAUGGCUAUUGGAUUGGUCCAUGAAGCGAAAAAUAGUUUACUGUGUCACUCGUACCGAUAACCGCAUCAGGUCUUCUAGGUAAGUAGCCUAUGGCCAUUGAGGCAUGAUAGUUCAGGGAAUUCGGCCAAUUAGAGCUGUAACUUCGGGAUAAAG
Molecule: non-coding RNA, 1063 nt
Filed under: Trichomonas vaginalis G3
Lineage: Eukaryota; Parabasalia; Trichomonadida; Trichomonadidae
Description: Eukaryotic large subunit ribosomal RNA
Rfam family: Eukaryotic large subunit ribosomal RNA
Source: Rfam by way of RNAcentral